UGGCUAGAUAGCAUAUCGGUGAUGCAAAAGACUGCAAAUCUUUAUUAGGACGGUUCGACUCCGUCUCUAGCUUU
RNAcentral lists this transfer RNA (74 nucleotides) under Cavernulicola chilensis. RNAcentral describes it as "tRNA-Cys". It matches the Rfam family "tRNA". Rfam says of the family: Transfer RNA (tRNA) molecules are approximately 80 nucleotides in length. The record is from RNAcentral. Lineage: Eukaryota; Rhodophyta; Bangiophyceae; Cavernulicolales; Cavernulicolaceae.